Molecule: ribosomal RNA, 908 nt
Filed under: Erysiphe alphitoides
Lineage: Eukaryota; Fungi; Ascomycota; Leotiomycetes; Helotiales; Erysiphaceae
Description: SSU rRNA
Rfam family: Eukaryotic small subunit ribosomal RNA
Source: RNAcentral
AAUUUAUACCGUGAAACUGCGAAUGGCUCAUUAAAUCAGUUAUCGUUUAUUUGAUAGUACCUUACUACUUGGAUAACCGUGGUAAUUCUAGAGCUAAUACAUGCUAAAAGCCCCGACUUCGGAAGGGGUGUAUUUAUUAGAUUAAAAACCAAUGCCCUUCGGGGCUCUUUGGUGAUUCAUAAUAACUUAACGAAUCGCAUGGCCUUGUGCCGGCGAUGGUUCAUUCAAAUUUCUGCCCUAUCAACUUUCGAUGGUAGUAUAUGGGACUACCAUGGUUUCAACGGGUAACGGGGAAUUAGGGUUCUAUUCCGGAGAGGGAGCCUGAGAAACGGCUACCACAUCCAAGGAAGGCAGCAGGCGCGCAAAUUACCCAAUCCCGACACGGGGAGGUAGUGACAAUAAAUACUGAUGCAGGGCUCUUUUGGGUCUUGUAAUUGGAAUGAGUACAAUUUAAAUCCCUUAACGAGGAACAAUUGGAGGGCAAGUCUGGUGCCAGCAGCCGCGGUAAUACCAGCUCCAAUAGCGUAUAUUAAAGUUGUUGCAGUUAAAAAGCUCGUAGUUGAACCUUGGGCCUGGCUGGCCGGUCCGCCUCACCGCGUGCACUGGUCCGGCCGGGUCUUUCCUCCUGGGGAGCCGCAUGCCCUUCACUGGGUGUGUCGGGGAACCAGGACUUUUACUUUGAAAAAAUUAGAGUGUUCAAAGCAGGCCUAUGCUCGAAUACAUUAGCAUGGAAUAAUAGAAUAGGACGUGUGGUUCUAUUUUGUUGGUUUCUCGGACCGCCGUAAUGAUUAAUAGGGAUGGUCGGGGGCAUCAGUAUUCAAUUGUCAGAGGUGAAAUUUUUGGAUUUAUUGAAGACUAACUACUGCGAAAGCAUUUGCCAAGGAUGUUUUCAUUAAUCAGGGAACGAA